Molecule: non-coding RNA, 1428 nt
Organism: Maylandia zebra (zebra mbuna)
Lineage: Eukaryota; Metazoa; Chordata; Actinopteri; Cichliformes; Cichlidae
Source: RefSeq, a predicted model, not a curated record
GGCAGUUUGUUGCUCGCUGCCAGGUGAUUGGCUGAAGAGCUGUGAAAAGGUAGUGGGUGUGUGGGGUGAAGUCAGCGCUCUUCUGUGGAAAAAACCAGAGGCAAUUAAUUCACUCAGGUGCGAGUGGGUAUACUGUCGUGUGACCACGAAUUUUAAUAGAAGAAUUGAUCAAGCCCUAGAUCGACUGCGCGCAGGGAAACUGAUCAAUAUUAUCACAGGCCAUACAUAGCACUGAUUCCCAGCUGCGCUGAGACCCGAAUUGUUUGCAGUGUGUGCCACGAUUGCAGUGUCACUAAGCGGGGUGUGACGGGUUGUAGUGUUAUUUCGCACAGUUUGUGUGGUAAGUCUCAUGCGCAGCUGGGAUAUCGGCAGGAUGUGUUGUAAGUCCUGUCUGGAAACGACUGGGAAUUUGUAUGUUUAACUUAUGUAAUAAAUAAAUGAUCAAUUAUUUCUUUGCCCCGUUUACUCAUCCCUUGUCCUCGGUUACAUUUUGGCGUUGUCGACAGGUUUCAAGGGAGUGGCCAUUUUGUUUUGUUAUUUUGUAAGGACAGCAGGGACAGGUUUGUAAGAUUGGAGAGAAGGAGCAGCCAGGUCUCGAUCGCCAUCAUGGAGGGAAGCGAGCAACAAACAAUGGCCCAACGUAUACAGGAGUUGGAGAAUGAACUUAGAGACUUGAAAACAGCAUCUGUGGGUACAGAGAGGCCCUCUACAUCAACAGGAGCUACAGGAAGUGAAUCAGAGACUGUGAGACCCAAUCCUGUGGUAUACGUACAACAGGAUAGAAAGUUGCCAACAUUUUCAGGGAAGUUGGACAAUAUGGGCUCACUGACUCUAGAUGAGUGGAUUGAGCAAAUGAGAGACUUUGUGCGCACGAGAGGCAGAACAGAAAAAGAGCAAGCUCAAAUCAUUUUUAACCAUUUAGAGGGUACUGCACGCACUGAGAUAAAGUUUUUGCCAAAGGAACAGAAAGAAAAUGUUGAGAAAAUUUUUGAUACACUGAAAGAAAUGUACAGUUGCUUAGAUUCCCACAUUUCUUUGCAACGCAGAUUUUUCAAUCGUAAACAAUUAGAAGGCGAGUCCUUAAUUGACUUUUCUCAUUCCUUGAUGGCCUUAAUGGACCAGAUUAUUAAAACGGAUGAGGAAGCCGCAAGAAAAGCUUCAAAAGAUCUGCGUGAUCAAUUUUGUGAUGGUGUUAGAGAUCUGACAUUGAGGAUCAGGCUGAGAGAUUUGAUUAAUGCCAACCCACAGUGGACGAUUCGUGAGGCGAGAGCCGAAGCGACCAGGUGGAUGGCACAGUAUGAGAAUCAGCCUUUUAGGUCUAGAUAUAAUCAGUCUGUUUCAGUCUCUGCAGAUAUGCAAGCUUCUUGUGAAAGUGUCGAUUCUAGAACAUCAGAAUAUGCUGAGUUGGUGUCCCUUUUUAAAGCCCAA